Neocloeon triangulifer is the source of this 666-nucleotide long non-coding RNA. RefSeq lists it as uncharacterized. The transcript has 3 exons. Lineage: Eukaryota; Metazoa; Arthropoda; Insecta; Ephemeroptera; Baetidae. The record is from RefSeq and is a predicted model, not a curated record.
UGCUCAAGUUGGUGUUGUUCGUUGUGCUCGUGGCUGCAGCCGCAGCCGUUGAUUUCGAAGAAACUGACGGCAAGCAGAGAACCGUGAGACGAAAUUCAGGCUAUCCAAAUAUAUUUUAUGAUCCAUCACCACCACCAGGCAGACUAUGGAAUUUCAUUUUUUCAAGUCAAUCUUCACCGUGGCUUGCAUUGAUGAAUGAUGCGGCGCCGGGACAGGGACAAGCGAAUCCUGAACUUCCAGGCCCCAUUUCCAAUCCGUCCUCGUGGAUCGUUCAAACCUUCAUCCAGCAACUGCCUCAGCCUCCACAAUAUCCACCAAAUCCUCCCAACAGGUUCCCGACCCAACAAUUGCAACAAUUCGACUCGGCUCCUCAUUCUCUCCCUCCUGGAUCCCCGCUGCCGCAACAGGGUCUACUUCAAUACCUUCUUGCCGUUUGUUUGGACUCGGUCACCCAUGAACUGCCUACUUCUUUUGGACCUCAAGGUUUAGCCGUGAGACACUACCUUUUAGGCGUUUGUUUGCGCAAAAUUCUAGAAGCCAAUGCCAACGUGCCAGCUUAACUAAAUAUGUUGAUGACGACUUGUGCUUUUUCUAAAACAAAAAUUAUUUGGGAAUUCUUUUUCACAUUAUAAUUUAAUGUUUUUUCUCUCGCAGAAAUAAAAUAGU